This is a long non-coding RNA of Ictidomys tridecemlineatus (thirteen-lined ground squirrel), 505 nucleotides long. The record is from Ensembl. Lineage: Eukaryota; Metazoa; Chordata; Mammalia; Rodentia; Sciuridae.
GUUGGGAAAAUCCUCUGUGUAUUUUAAUGAUAAGAGCCAUUUCCUUUACAUGUUUAUUAUAGGGGUCUCAUUAUUUGCUUUCUCUUGGACUUUGUUACUCUAAAGCACUGUAGAAUUUCUAUGAUAGAUUUGCAUGCCUGGAAAGAUUUGCUAAAUCCAUAGAUCAUGUACAUGAAGUCCCAAGCUGGGACAAUCUCCCACUCCUGCCCCUUCUCCUCUAACCCUUUCUAAGGGAAAUCUGCUUUGGGAGAGUCCACUCUGUUGGAGGAAUGGCAGAGCAACAUGCAGCAGGAGCUCCAAGGGAAUCACUGUGCCUUUCAACAGAAUCCCUGGUAUUCAACUUCAAGACCUGUUGCUUUUUGCCUUGUGGUCCAUGGCUGCCGUAAAACAGUGGAGUGGACCGAAGGCUUUCCAAGGUCUGUUUGUAAGUGGAACAAGGUAAGCAUGGAGCUGUGGUUGGAUCCCAAUACAAUGGAGAAGCAGCCAGGUCAGUAUAUAAACAUGU